AUUGAACGCUGGCGGCAUGCUUUACACAUGCAAGUCGAACGGUAACAGGCCUUCGGGUGCUGACGAGUGGCGAACGGGUGAGUAAUGCAUCGGAACGUGCCCAGAGGUGGGGGAUAACGCAGCGAAAGCUGUGCUAAUACCGCAUGUGAUCUGAGGAUGAAAGCGGGGGACCAGGCAGCAAUGUUUGGCCUCGCGCCUUUGGAGCGGCCGAUGUCAGAUUAGGUAGUUGGUGGGGUAAAGGCCUACCAAGCCGACGAUCUGUAGCUGGUCUGAGAGGACGACCAGCCACACUGGGACUGAGACACGGCCCAGACUCCUACGGGAGGCAGCAGUGGGGAAUUUUGGACAAUGGGCGCAAGCCUGAUCCAGCAAUGCCGCGUGCGGGAAGAAGGCCUUCGGGUUGUAAACCGCUUUUGUAUGGAACGAAAAGGCUCUGGCUAAUACCUGGGGCUGAUGACGGUACCGUAAGAAUAAGCACCGGCUAACUACGUG
Molecule: ribosomal RNA, 492 nt
Filed under: uncultured bacterium
Lineage: Bacteria
Description: partial 16S ribosomal RNA
Rfam family: Bacterial small subunit ribosomal RNA
Source: RNAcentral